Mus musculus (house mouse) is the source of this 3134-nucleotide long non-coding RNA. RefSeq annotates it as predicted gene 14100. The record is from RefSeq and is a predicted model, not a curated record. The transcript is spliced from 3 exons. NCBI's taxonomy places the organism in Eukaryota, Metazoa, Chordata, Mammalia, Rodentia, Muridae.
UGGAAUAGACAGGCUAGACUGAGAACAGAGGCGUGCCUGCCAGAACCAAAUGUUCCCAAAACAAAUGGCUUUAUCAGAUGAAACUAUAACCCAGAUCUGAAAAUGAUUGAAUACAACUUCUGUGGUGAGAAAAACAACUUAAAGAGUAUGAAGACUGGCUAAAGUUGAACUUCAGGCCACGAAAGAUUCUCAAAAGCUGAAGCCGUGAAAGGGGGUUGCAGGGAGCACUCAGAGUUCAUGUUUCUACCUCCACAAAGUACAGAAACAUACAGUUGUUCAUGGAAUGUUUUUGUGUUCCUCCCAGGUGUAGCUGAUAAGACUCUAAUGUCUUCCAUAGCUCUCCAACAAAUAGCAUGACCAAGACAGUCACAGCAGCACCUCAUGCCUGGUCACGACUUCUGUCCUAGUCAGCCUUCUAUUGCUGUGAAGAGACACCGUAACCAGUGGAAAUAAAAGGAAGCUUUUACUUGGGUGGCUUGCUUUCAUAUUAGAGGGUGAGUUCAUGACCAUUGUGGUGGGAAGUAGACAGGCAUGAUGUUGGAGCAGUAACGAAGAGAUUUACAUCCUAAUCCUCAGAUAUCAGGUAUACAAUACACACACACACACACACACACACACACACACACACACACAAACACACACACGAAUGGGAGAAGGAGACCCAUAACCAGGAUGUUCUGUCUGGAUAUGAGAGACCAGUGAUAAUGCUCCAGUUAGUUCUGAGGGGGGCACAAGAGAGCCAGCUAGGAGAAAUACUGAUAGUCAUGUGAAGAUCCAGCUCACAGCUCUCGUGGGAUCAAUGAAUUGACUCUAUCACAUGCCAGGAGGAAAGAUGAUAAAUAAUUUUUUAACUUUUCUUGAUAAGCAAAAAGAACACCAGACUCUUGAAUAAUUUUAUGAGCAUUUCAAGGGAAAGAAUUACUUUCAUGUUAGUAGUUGUUUAUUUUUGAUUGUUACCUCAUCAGAAUGCAUCCCCCAAAUUAAGUCAUAUACAGUCACUGUGGCUCUACCACUCUCCUAUUCACUAUUCCUCAUAAGAAGCUACCCCAAACCCUAGUGGCUUAAAAAUGAUGCUGAGUUACUUUCUUUACUGUGGUAUAUUAGAGGCAGCACUUAAUGAGGAUAACUCAUUUUCAUCCCACCCAGUGUUAAGCAGCUCAAGAAAGGAGCCCUGAGAUCCCCCAUUAUCACAGGUACUCCAAGGGAUUGCCAAUAUCGGAGUUGUUCAUGAGAAAGGCUGGUCCAUUUAAAAAUAUUUUGAGCUACAAUGGACAAUAAGAAGCUGAUCUGGUAAGCAGGGAACAGAUGUGUUCUGCCUGGCUUCAUUUGGUCACAUUUGUUCAGGUUCAUUAUCAGAGACUGGGCAAGACAAAGUGGAGGAGGCCAUCCCACCAGAACUGCUGUAGUAUUCAUAGGUUCUGUAGGUGAGAAACCUGACCAAGAAGCGAAGGCCAAGAUUCCAUCUAGAGAGAAGGGAAAUGCAUCUGUGGAAAUUAAUGAGAAACGCAGACAUUCCAUCUGAGUUCAAAAACUGAAAACUGGUCAGACCAGAAAAAGAUCUAGAGAAAUAUAACAGGAGACAAAUUUCACAGGGUUUGCGACAUGAUAUCUUUGGAAUGGAAAAGAAUUUGUUUUGCUUUCCACUGCAGGAGAAUAGUCUCCAUGUCAAAGGGGACAUCCUGACUUUCUAGGAUCACCAGGAUUACCAUCUCCACAAGAGACACCUUCUUACAACCGGAGACAAAUAAACUUGUUCAGAAUUUAAGAGCCAGUGGAAUGCCUUUGGGCUUGGGCUCACUGGUUACUUAAAUCAAAUAAUUUUCUUCUUCUGGAUGUCUUAAAUCCCAAUGAUCACCAUAGGACACAUUAGAAAGACCAUGAAAAUUCUGGAAGGUUCCAUAGGAAAUGUUCCUGCCAGUAGGAUAUUAAGGUUGAACCAGCCAAGUGAAGAAGGGAAUCAUUGCUCUUGGAGGGUGUUGAAUUUCAACCAGAGACCAGAGAAGACACUCUAUCCUCAGAAUGCUUGAAGUUUUAUACUAGGCCACUCCUGGGCUGCUUGGACCUGAUCUGCCUUUGGACACAUCAGACAAGAAUUAAAGUGUUUGAUUAUUGUGUUUCAAACGUGAAUUUUCUCUGGCCUCAUCAGGGAAACUUGGAAAAGAUGAGACACCAUGUGCACUUUAAUUGUUAGGUGAUUGGCAAAGGAAUGCUCUUCCUUGUUGAGAAAAGCUGUCAGGGAACAGAGUGCAUUAAACCAAAACUGUUGCCACAUCUGCAUGUGGGGUUACAGGGCUCCGUAUACCCUCCCUGCAGCUAGGGUCAUAAUCCUACCAACAUGUCUUCUGUCAUCGUCAGUGAACCGACCCCAGACAGCAGGGCAGUGACAGUGAUCACGCCUUCUAGGGGCUCCAGAUGAACUGGUUUUGGUUAUUGUCUGUGCUCUGUGUUUCUACAUACAUUUACAAGGUGGACCAAUAGGAGCUCUCUCAGAGUGCUGACCCAUUCCAGACUGCUCUCUUUUCAGGGCUUAAUUUCCUUCUCCAAAUUCCAGUCCCUGAUACUAUCACAUUAAGGGUUAUAAUUUCAGUGUUUAAAUAUAGAGGCCACACAAGGGUUGAGUCCAUGGCAACCACAUAUCUCCUCCCCUUUCUUGCAGUUGCUCCCUCCAUUGUAGACGGGACAGCUUUUACUAACCCAUUUGGUUCUAUUCAUUUUUUAAAAAUUCUCAUUACCUUGGUUUUUAAACCAUCACACAAGAGACACAGUAGACACUCAUUAGACACAAGAAAUUCUUCUUCAAUGGGCGUGGGCGGAAUGACAUUUUGGUCUAACCUGACGCAGAGGCGCCUUUUGCAGUGUGGAGAGUGUUUUCUGCUUGUGCAGAAUGGGCGGCCAGAAGCACGGCUGACCUUAGCCUCUGCUUAAGCAGUAUCCUACUUCCCAGUUUCUUCUCUUAAGUACGUUGGUUCAUCUGAAUGGUAUUUUUAUUUGUUUGUUUGUUUGUUUGUUUAUUGAGACACAGUUCCAAAUAGCUUAGGCAAGCUUCCAACCUGCAGGGUAACUUAGAAUGACCUUUGAUUCCCGAUUCUCUUGCCUUUACCUCUCCCAUUCUGGGUUUCCAGGAUGUGGCCACU